AGCCUCUUGGUGCUUACCACAGGCUGUGUUGUUAUACUGACUGUAUAGAAAAAGGAGGCAGAGUAAAUCUACCCUGUGUGCACCUCAGUCCAGGCCCUGUGCCUGGCCUGUAUUGUGAAUGGGGGAACAUGG
This 132-nucleotide small nucleolar RNA is filed under the name Carlito syrichta (Philippine tarsier). Its description in RNAcentral is "Small nucleolar RNA SNORA51 (ENSTSYG00000037452.1)". It matches the Rfam family "Small nucleolar RNA SNORA51". Rfam says of the family: ACA51 is a member of the H/ACA class of snoRNA that guide the sites of modification of uridines to pseudouridines. Lineage: Eukaryota; Metazoa; Chordata; Mammalia; Primates; Tarsiidae. The record is from Rfam by way of RNAcentral.